RNAcentral lists this ribosomal RNA (527 nucleotides) under Capitulum mitella. RNAcentral describes it as "partial large subunit ribosomal RNA". It matches the Rfam family "Bacterial large subunit ribosomal RNA", at positions 1809 to 2611 of the family's 2925-position model. Lineage: Eukaryota; Metazoa; Arthropoda; Thecostraca; Pollicipedomorpha; Pollicipedidae. The record is from RNAcentral.
AAAAACAUUUCCUCUUGGUAUAAGAGGUAAGGCCUGCUCACUGACUAGGUUGAAGAGCCGCAGUAUAUUGACUGUGCUAAGGUAGCAUAAUCAUUAGUCCUUUAAUUGGGGACUGGUAUGAAUGGCUAAACGAGAAAUUAGCUUUCUUUGUUAUGGUUUGUUGAAUUUAACUUGUAAGUGAAAAGGCUUACAUGAUUCAGAAAGACGAGAAGACCCUAUAGAGUUUUACAAAGGCCUAAAAUACAGCUUAUUAGUUUUUAAGGGUUAUACUUUGGAAAUUUGUUUGGUUGGGGCGACAUAAAGAUAAAAAAAACUCUUUGUAGUAUAAACUUUGGUGGAAGAAAAGGUUUGAUCCUCUAAAAGGGAUUAUAAGAAAAAAUUACCUUAGGGAUAACAGCGUAAUCUUCUUUUAGAGUUCAAAUCGACAAGAAGGUUUGCGACCUCGAUGUUGGACUAAAAUUUGGGCAAGGUGCAGCAGCUUUGUUUUUGGGUCUGUUCGACCCGUAAUAUUUUACAUGAUCUGAGUU